AAAUAAAAGUAAGUUGCAGUUUAAUUGAUAUGAAUGAAUUAUAAAUAAAAGUGAUAUGGAAGAUUCACGUUUUUUCUUUUUUUUUUUUUUUUACCAGUUCCGUAUCUUUCAUGGAGAAGAAUUACAAAGGACUUAUAUAAAUACUCUGCCCUCAGGAAGGGAGCUUAACUCUUUAUUUCCUAAGAGUGGGCUAUGCAUGGUGUGACUUCCUUCCAAAGAUGGAGCAUGGAUAAAAUACAUACGGCCAUUACAAAGCUCAAGCACUCAUUGCUCUCAUGGAAAAAAUUAUUUAUUUUUUGAGAUGGCGUUUCAUUCUGUUACCAAGGCUGGAGUGCAGUAGUAUAAUCUCAGCUCACUGCAACCUCUACCUCCCGGGUUCUAGCGAUUCUCCUGCCUCAGCCUCCCAAGUAGCUGAGAUUACAGAAUCAGAGAUACAUAGAACAAUCCUGAACCCAAAUCUAGCAUACUGCACCCAAGUCACAAAUUGA
RNAcentral lists this long non-coding RNA (488 nucleotides) under Callithrix jacchus (white-tufted-ear marmoset). RNAcentral's name for it is "lncRNA (ENSCJAG00000073337.1)". The record is from RNAcentral. Lineage: Eukaryota; Metazoa; Chordata; Mammalia; Primates; Cebidae.